AUUUAUAUAGUUUAAAAAAAACAUUACAUUUUCAGUGUAAAAUUAACUAACGUUUAUAAGUA
Molecule: transfer RNA, 62 nt
Filed under: Promethis valgipes
Lineage: Eukaryota; Metazoa; Arthropoda; Insecta; Coleoptera; Tenebrionidae
Description: tRNA-Glu
Source: RNAcentral